This 253-nucleotide ribosomal RNA is filed under the name uncultured bacterium. Its description in RNAcentral is "partial 16S ribosomal RNA". It matches the Rfam family "Bacterial small subunit ribosomal RNA", at positions 524 to 776 of the family's 1533-position model. The record is from RNAcentral.
UACAGAGGGUGCGAGCGUUGUCCGGAAUCACUGGGCGUAAAGGGCGCGUAGGCGGCUCAGUAAGGUUGCGGUGAAAGCCCGGGGCUCAACCCCGGGUCGGCCGUGGCAACUGCUGGGCUGGAGCACUGUAGAGGCAGGUGGAAUUCCGGGUGUAGCGGUGGAAUGCGUAGAUAUCUGGAGGAACACCGGUGGCGAAGGCGGCAUCCUGGACCAAUUCUGACACUGAGGAGCGAAAGCCAGGGGAGCAAACGGG